GAUGAACGCUGGCGGCGUGCCUAACACAUGCAAGUCGAACGGAAAGACCCUGCGUUUGUGGGGUGCUCGAGUGGCGAAGGCGUGAGUAACACGUGUGUAUCCUGCCCUUGUCUUUGGGAUAACAUCAGGAAACUGGGGCUAAUAUCGGAUAGGAGAUCCUGCUCCAUGGUGGGGGUUGGAAAGUUUCGGCUGUUGGGGAUGGACUCGCGGCUUAAGGGCUUGCUGGUGGGGUAGUGGCUUACCAAGUCUGUGACGGGUAGCCGGCAUGGGAGGGUGGACGGCCACAAUGGGACUAAGGGACGGAGCAGACUGCAACGGGAGGCAGUAGUGGGAAGUAUUACACAGUGGGCGGAAGCCUGAUACGAAGGCGCCGCGUUCGGAAAGACGGCCUUUGGGUUAUGAACCGCUUUCGCCUGUGACGAAGCGUUAGUGACGGUAAUGAAUAAAGAAGCACCGGCUAACUACGUG
This 468-nucleotide ribosomal RNA is filed under the name uncultured bacterium. RNAcentral describes it as "partial 16S ribosomal RNA". It matches the Rfam family "Bacterial small subunit ribosomal RNA", at positions 28 to 507 of the family's 1533-position model. The record is from RNAcentral.